RNAcentral lists this ribosomal RNA (250 nucleotides) under uncultured Alphaproteobacteria bacterium. RNAcentral's name for it is "partial 16S ribosomal RNA". It matches the Rfam family "Bacterial small subunit ribosomal RNA", at positions 796 to 1041 of the family's 1533-position model. The record is from RNAcentral. Lineage: Bacteria; Pseudomonadati; Pseudomonadota; Alphaproteobacteria.
CACGCCGUAAACGAUGAAAACUAGCUGUCAGGGUGCUUGGCACUUUGGUGGCGUAGCUAACGCGAUAAGUUUUCCGCCUGGGGAGUACGGCCGCAAGGUUAAAACUCAAAGGAAUUGACGGGGGCCUGCACAAGCGGUGGAGCAUGUGGUUUAAUUCGAAGCAACGCGCAGAACCUUACCAGCCCUUGACAUCCCGGUCGCGGGGAGCAGAGAUGCACCCCUUCAGUUCGGCUGGACCGGUGACAGGUGC